GUGGGGAGUAUUGCACAAUGGGCGAAAGCCUGAUGCAGCAACGCCGCGUGAGUGAUGACGGCCUUCGGGUUGUAAAGCUCUGUCUUUGGGGACGAUAAUGACGGUACCCAAGGAGGAAGCCACGGCUAACUACGUGCCAGCAGCCGCGGUAAUACGUAGGUGGCAAGCGUUGUCCGGAUUUACUGGGCGUAAAGGGUGCGUAGGCGGACCUUUAAGUGAGAUGUGAAAUCCCCGAGCUUAACUUGGGGGCUGCAUUUCAAACUGGAGGUCUAUAGUGCAGGAGAGGAGAGUGGAAUUCCUAGUGUAGCGGUGAAAGGCGUAGAGAUUAGGAAGAACGCCAGUGGCGAAGGCGACUCGCUGGACUGUAACUGACGCUGAGGCACGAAAGCGUGGGGAGCAAACAG
RNAcentral lists this ribosomal RNA (404 nucleotides) under uncultured bacterium. RNAcentral's name for it is "bacterial SSU rRNA". It matches the Rfam family "Bacterial small subunit ribosomal RNA", at positions 354 to 775 of the family's 1533-position model. The record is from RNAcentral.